RNAcentral lists this ribosomal RNA (544 nucleotides) under uncultured bacterium. RNAcentral's name for it is "partial 16S ribosomal RNA". It matches the Rfam family "Bacterial small subunit ribosomal RNA", at positions 355 to 914 of the family's 1533-position model. The record is from RNAcentral.
UGGGGAAUAUUGGACAAUGGGGGCAACCCUGAUCCAGCAAUGCCGCGUGUGUGAAGAAGGUUUUCGGAUUGUAAAGCACUUUCGGCGGGGACGAUGAUGACGGUACCCGCAGAAGAAGCCCCGGCUAACUUCGUGCCAGCAGCCGCGGUAAUACGAAGGGGGCUAGCGUUGCUCGGAAUGACUGGGCGUAAAGGGCGUGUAGGCGGUUUGUACAGUCAGAUGUGAAAUCCCCGGGCUUAACCUGGGAGCUGCAUUUGAUACGUGUAGACUAGAGUGUGAGAGAGGGUUGUGGAAUUCCCAGUGUAGAGGUGAAAUUCGUAGAUAUUGGGAAGAACACCGGUGGCGAAGGCGGCAACCUGGCUCAUAACUGACGCUGAGGCGCGAAAGCGUGGGGAGCAAACAGGAUUAGAUACCCUGGUAGUCCACGCUGUAAACGAUGUGUGCUAGAUGUUGGGUAACUUAGUUAUUCAGUGUCGCAGUUAACGCGUUAAGCACACCGCCUGGGGAGUACGGCCGCAAGGUUGAAACUCUAAAGUGAAUUAAC